Xiphophorus couchianus (Monterrey platyfish) is the source of this 101-nucleotide long non-coding RNA. RefSeq lists it as uncharacterized. Lineage: Eukaryota; Metazoa; Chordata; Actinopteri; Cyprinodontiformes; Poeciliidae. The transcript is spliced from 3 exons. The record is from RefSeq and is a predicted model, not a curated record.
CUUGUCACAUGAUAUUAAUUGCAAAGGGUAACACUUUAUCUGAAGGGGUGUGCAUAAGACUGACAUGACACUGUCAUAAAAUCGACAUAACACCUGUUAUG